GAUGAACGCUGGCGGCGUGCCUAAUACAUGCAAGUCGAACGAACAGAUAAGGAGCUUGCUCCUUUGACGUUAGCGGCGGACGGGUGAGUAACACGUGGGUAACCUACCUAUCAGACUGGAAUAACUCCGGGAAACCGGGGCUAAUGCCGGAUAACAUUUAGAACCGCAUGGUUCUAAAGUGAAAGAUGGUUUUGCUAUCACUUAUAGAUGGACCCCCUCCGUAUUAGCUAGUUGGUAAGGUAACGGCUUACCAAGGCAACGAUACGUAGCCGACCUGAGAGGGGGGUCGGCCGCCCUGGAAGAGGGACACGGUCCAGAGUACUACGGGACGCAGCAGUAGGGAAUCGGCCGCAAUGGGCGAAAACCUGACGGAACAGCGCCACGUGAGUGACGAGAGUCGCCGGUUCGUAAAACUCGGUUAUUAGGGAAGAACAAAUGUGUAAGGAACUGAGCAGGUCUUGACGGUACCUAAUCAGAAAGCCACGGCUAACUACGUG
This 497-nucleotide ribosomal RNA is filed under the name uncultured bacterium. RNAcentral's name for it is "partial 16S ribosomal RNA". It matches the Rfam family "Bacterial small subunit ribosomal RNA", at positions 28 to 507 of the family's 1533-position model. The record is from RNAcentral.